GACGAACGCUGGCGGCGUGCCUAAUACAUGCAAGUCGAGCGGGCCUCCGGAGGUGCUUGCACCUCCGGAAGGCCAGCGGCGGACGGGUGAGUAACACGUGGGCAACCUGCCUUUGAGGCCGGGAUAACACCGGGAAACCGGUACUAAUACCGGAUGCGUCCCCUUUCGCGCCUGCGAGAGGGGAGAAAGACGGUCUUUAAGGCCGUCGCUCAAAGAGGGGCCCGCGGCGCAUUAGCUGGUUGGUGGGGUAAGGGCCUACCAAGGCGACGAUGCGUUGCCGACCUGAGAGGGUGAUCGGCCACACUGGGACUGAGACACGGCCCAGACUCCUGCGGGAGGCAGCAGUAGGGAAUCAUCCGCAAUGGGCGAAAGCCUGACGGUGCAACGCCGCGUGAGUGAGGAAGGUUUUCGGAUCGUAAAGCUCUGUUGUGAGGGAAGAACAGCUUCCGGAGGAAAUGCCGGAGGUUUGCCGGUACCUCACCAGAAAGCCCCGGCUAACUACGUGCCAGCCGCCGCCGUAA
RNAcentral lists this ribosomal RNA (521 nucleotides) under uncultured bacterium. Its description in RNAcentral is "partial 16S ribosomal RNA". It matches the Rfam family "Bacterial small subunit ribosomal RNA", at positions 28 to 523 of the family's 1533-position model. The record is from RNAcentral.